GACGAACGCUGGCGGCGUGCUUAAUACAUGCAAGUCGAACGGAAAGGCCCUGCUUUUGUGGGGUGCUCGAGUGGCGAACGGGUGAGUAACACGUGAGUAACCUGCCCUUGACUUUGGGAUAACUUCAGGAAACUGGGGCUAAUACCGGAUAGGAGCUCCUGCUGCAUAGUGGGGGUUGGAAAGUUUCGGCGGUUGGGGAUGGACUCGCGGCUUAUCAGCUUGUUGGUGGGGUAGUGGCUUACCAAGGCUUUGACGGUUAGCCGGCCUGAGAGGGUGACCGGCCACAUGGGGACUGAGAUACGGAGCAGAAUCGAACGGGAGGCAGCAGUGGGGAAAAUUGCACAAGGGGCGGAAGCGUGAUGUAGCAACGCCGCGUGCGGGAUAACGGCCUUCGGGGUGUAAACCGCUUUCGCCUGUGACGAAGCGUGAGUGACGGUAAUGGGUAAAGAAGCACCGGCUAACUACGUG
Molecule: ribosomal RNA, 468 nt
Filed under: uncultured bacterium
Lineage: Bacteria
Description: partial 16S ribosomal RNA
Rfam family: Bacterial small subunit ribosomal RNA
Source: RNAcentral